Molecule: ribosomal RNA, 287 nt
Filed under: uncultured bacterium
Lineage: Bacteria
Description: partial 16S ribosomal RNA
Rfam family: Bacterial small subunit ribosomal RNA
Source: RNAcentral
GUUCCUACGGGACGCAGCAGUGGGGAAUAUUGCGCAAUGGGCGAAAGCCUGACGCAGCAACGCCGCGUGAGUGAAGAAGUAUUUCGGUAUGUAAAGCUCUAUCAGCAGGGAAGAAAAUGACGGUACCUGAGUAAGAAGCCCCGGCUAACUACGUGCCAGCAGCCGCGGUAAUACGUAGGGGGCAAGCGUUAUCCGGAUUUACUGGGUGUAAAGGGAGCGUAGACGGCGAUGCAAGUCUGAAGUGAAAGCCCGGGGCUCAACCCCGGGACUGCUUUGGAAACUGUAUG